UGAGGAAUAUUGGUCAAUGGGGGCAACCCUGAACCAGCCAAGUCGCGUGAAGGAUGAAGGUCUUAUGGAUUGUAAACUUCUUUUACACGGGAAUAAAGUGGGGGACGUGUCCCCCUUUGCAUGUACCGUGUGAAUAAGGAUCGGCUAACUCCGUGCCAGCAGCCGCGGUAAUACGGAGGAUCCGAGCGUUAUCCGGAUUUAUUGGGUUUAAAGGGUGCGCAGGCGGGAUGUUAAGUCGGCGGUGAAAUUUUGCAGCUCAACUGUAAAAGUGCCUUCGAUACUGGCCUCCUUGAGUGUGGAUGAAGUAGGCGGAAUUUGUGGUGUAGCGGUGAAAUGCUUAGAUAUCACGAAGAACUCCGAUUGCGAAGGCAGCUUACCGGGGUACAACUGACGCUGAUGCACGAAAGUGUGGGUA
Molecule: ribosomal RNA, 415 nt
Filed under: uncultured bacterium
Lineage: Bacteria
Description: bacterial SSU rRNA
Rfam family: Bacterial small subunit ribosomal RNA
Source: RNAcentral